AAGAGAGGAGCUUGCUCUUCUUGGAUGAGUUGCGAACGGGUGAGUAACGCGUAGGUAACCUGCCUGGUAGCGGGGGAUAACUAUUGGAAACGAUAGCUAAUACCGCAUAAUAGUAGAUGUUGCAUAACAUUUGCUUAAAAGGUGCAAUUGCAUCACUACCAGAUGGACCUGCGUUGCAUUAGCUAGUUGGUGGGGUAACGGCUCACCAAGGCAACGAUACAUAGCCGACCUGAGAGGGUGAUCGGCCACACUGGGACUGAGACACGGCCCAGACUCCUACGGGAGGCAGCAGUAGGGAAUCUUCGGCAAUGGACGGAAGUCUGACCGAGCAACGCCGCGUGAGUGAAGAAGGUUUUCGGAUCGUAAAGCUCUGUUGUAAGAGAAGAACGAGUGUGAGAGUGGAAAGUUCACACUGUGACGGUAUCUUACCAGAAAGGGACGGCUAACUACGUGCCAGCAGCCGCGGUAAUACGUAGGUCCCGAGCGUUGUCCGGAUUUAUUGGGCGUAAAGCGAGCGCAGGCGGUUAGAUAAGUCUGAAGUUAAAGGCUGUGGCUUAACCAUAGUACGCUUUGGAAACUGUUUAACUUGAGUGCAGGAGGGGAGAGUGGAAUUCCAUGUGUAGCGGUGAAAUGCGUAGAUAUAUGGAGGAACACCGGUGGCGAAAGCGGCUCUCUGGCUUGUAACUGACGCUGAG
This 695-nucleotide ribosomal RNA is filed under the name uncultured Bacilli bacterium. RNAcentral's name for it is "bacterial SSU rRNA". It matches the Rfam family "Bacterial small subunit ribosomal RNA", at positions 69 to 750 of the family's 1533-position model. The record is from RNAcentral. Lineage: Bacteria; Bacillati; Bacillota; Bacilli.